GGGGAUGUAGCUGAGUGGAGGAGCGCUUGCCUAUCAUGCAAGAGGUCCUGCGUACAAUCCUCAGUACUGCCA
RNAcentral lists this transfer RNA (72 nucleotides) under Fukomys damarensis (Damara mole-rat). It matches the Rfam family "tRNA". From Rfam's summary of the family: Transfer RNA (tRNA) molecules are approximately 80 nucleotides in length. Their secondary structure includes four short double-helical elements and three loops (D, anti-codon, and T loops). Further hydrogen bonds mediate the characteristic L-shaped molecular structure. tRNAs have two regions of fundamental functional importance: the anti-codon, which is responsible for specific mRNA codon recognition, and the 3' end, to which the tRNAs corresponding amino acid is attached (by aminoacyl-tRNA synthetases). tRNAs cope with the degeneracy of the genetic code in two manners: having more than one tRNA (with a specific anti-codon) for a particular amino acid; and 'wobble' base-pairing, i.e. permitting non-standard base-pairing at the 3rd anti-codon position. The record is from Rfam by way of RNAcentral. Lineage: Eukaryota; Metazoa; Chordata; Mammalia; Rodentia; Bathyergidae.